UACGUAGGGUGCGAGCGUUAAUCGGAAUUACUGGGCGUAAAGCGUGCGUAGGCGGUUCGUUAAGUUCGUCGUGAAAGCCCCGGGCUCAACCUGGGAAUGGCGCUUGAAACUACGGGACUGGAGUAUGGCAGAGGGAGGUGGAAUUCCACGUGUAGCGGUGAAAUGCGUAGAGAUGUGGAGGAACACCGAUGGCGAAGGCAGCCUCCUGGGCCAAUACUGACGCUCAUGCACGAAAGCGUGGGGAGCAAACAGG
Molecule: ribosomal RNA, 253 nt
Filed under: uncultured bacterium
Lineage: Bacteria
Description: partial 16S ribosomal RNA
Rfam family: Bacterial small subunit ribosomal RNA
Source: RNAcentral